GAAUCCCAACGGCCUCGUGCUGUUGGGAAAUGUGGUGUUUGGUAUACUCCUUACGGUGCAUUGGAGUCGUUCUAAGUCCACGUGAUUGUGGCUUAAAGCCCAGAGAGGGUGUAAGGCCCGUGANAACGAUACAGUGUAUUCAUUGGAGUGUUCCUANAUUCGGAUUGUUUGGGAAUGCUGUCCAUACAGCGNGGNNCNNCNCGAANANNNUANANUNAAACUUGNUNUAUUUANUCAUUNUACCNNNNNNNNNNNNNNNNNNNNNNNNNNNNNNNNNNNNNNNGAANNGCUNNAGGUNNNAGGCAGAGCCGAAGGAGGGGUGUGCAUUUGUCUUCCGCGAUGCUCAUGCUGAUGUUUAAGGAGAUUCGUAAGAACUCCCACGUUGGUGUGUAGUGUUGUGUUAGGCUAUUGUGCGCUUCCGGCACCACGAUCAGUGCCUAGAUGGGCCGUGUCAUUGGGGAGAAGUUAACUUGUCUCUUUGAGGCAAGAAUUUAUAGACCCUAGUACAGCGCCAGUCGAACACUGAGAAAUGCGAUGCAGGACAAUGCGCUGCACAAGUUGGUGAUAGUUACUGGUUCUUGGUAUUGACUCUUCGGAGAUGGUAACGAGUUGCCGGUGGCUGUUGCUCGCCUCUGUGUAGUGCAGUAAUGAAUCCGUGGUGAUAAUGUAAGCAAUCUGCCUGACCCGUCUUGAAACACGGACCAAGGAGUUUAGCAUGUGCGCGAGUCAUGAGGUCGUACGAAACCUAAAGGCGAAGUGAAAGUAAAGGCUAACAUUGUCGUUAGCUGAGGUAGGAUCUCGGUUCCUAUGUACAUUCUGGUACAAGUUCCGGGCGCACUACCANCUCGUCCCCUGCUUUAUUANNCCGGGCGACGCAACAACGCACACACUGAUACCCCACAUAUGGUGGGCUAUGCUUGCGUAGGUUGAAGCCAGAGGAAACUCUGGUGGAGGGCCGUAGCGAUUCUGACGUGCAAAUCGAUCGUCAAACGUGAGUAUAGGGGCGAAAGACUAAUCGAACCAUCUAGUAGCUGGUUCCCUCCGAAGUUUCCCUCAGGAUAGCUGGCACUCGAGAAACAAACAGUUUUAUCCGGUAAAGCGAAUGAUUAGAAGUAUUGGGGAAAAACAUUCCUCAACUUAUUCUCAAACUUUAAAUGGGUGAGAAGCUGAACUCUCUUAAAUUGGAGUUGGGCAUUGAAUGUGAGUGCCUAGUGGGCCAUUUUUGGUAAGCAGAACUGGCGCUGUGGGAUGAACCAAACGUUUGGUUAAGGAGCCUAACACGACGCUCAUCAGAUACCACAAAAGGUGUUGGUUGAUAUAGACAGCAGGACGGUGGCCAUGGAAGUUGGAAUCCGCUAAGGAGUGUGUAACAACUCACCUGCCGAAUCAACUAGCCCUGAAAAUGGAUGGCGCUGGAGCGUUGGUCCUAUACCAGACCGAUACUGCAAGGCGCAUGAAAAGGACGCAGUACCGAGUAGGAGGGCGCUGUGGUGAGCAUUGAAGCUUCGGUCGUGAGACUGGGUGGAGCCGCCACGGGUGCAGAUCUUGGUGGUAGUAGCAAAUAUUCAAGUGAGAACCUUGAA
This 1583-nucleotide ribosomal RNA is filed under the name Schizorhynchidae sp. 3 JPS-2015. RNAcentral describes it as "partial 28S ribosomal RNA". It matches the Rfam family "Eukaryotic large subunit ribosomal RNA", at positions 116 to 1488 of the family's 3401-position model. Lineage: Eukaryota; Metazoa; Platyhelminthes; Rhabdocoela; Schizorhynchidae. The record is from RNAcentral.